Molecule: ribosomal RNA, 235 nt
Filed under: uncultured bacterium
Lineage: Bacteria
Description: partial small subunit ribosomal RNA
Rfam family: Bacterial small subunit ribosomal RNA
Source: RNAcentral
AGAAUGAACGUUGGCGGCGUGGAUUAGGCAUGCAAGUCGCACGGGCCGCAAGGCCAGUGGCGCAAGGGUGAGUAAGGCGACGGCAACCAACCCCGUGAUUGGGUAUAGCCGCGGGAAACCGCGGGUAAUCCCCAGCGACGUCCAAAAGAGGCAUCUCUUCUGGACCAAAGUUCCGGCGUCGCGGGACGGGCCGUCGUGCUAUUAGCUUGUUGGCGGGGUAACGGCCCACCAAGGC